GCCCUAGUAACGGCGAGUGAAGCGGCAACAGCUCAAAUUUGAAAUCUGGCUCCUUCCGGGGUCCGAGUUGUAAUUUGUAGAGGGUGCUUUGGCGUCGGCCAUGGUCUAAGUUCCUUGGAACAGGGCGUCACAGAGGGUGAGAAUCCCGUACGUGGCCGCUGGCCUUCGCCAUGUAAAGCCCCUUCGACGAGUCGAGUUGUUUGGGAAUGCAGCUCUAAAUGGGAGGUAAAUUUCUUCUAAAGCUAAAUAUUGGCCAGAGACCGAUAGCGCACAAGUAGAGUGAUCGAAAGAUGAAAAGCACUUUGGAAAGAGAGUCAAAAAGCACGUGAAAUUGUUGAAAGGGAAGCGCUUGCAGCCAGACUUGCCCGUAGUUGCUCAUCCAGGCUUCGGCCUGGUGCACUCUUCUGCGGGCAGGCCAGCAUCAGUCCAGGCGGUCGGAUAAAGGUCCCGGGAAUGUGGCUCUCUUCGGGGAGUGUUAUAGCCCGGGGCGCAAUGCGGCCAGCUUGGACUGAGGUCCGCGCAUCUGCUAGGAUGCUGGCGUAAUGGCUGUAAGCGGCCCGUCUUGAAACACGGACCAAGGAGUCUAACAUCUAUGCGAGUGUUUGGGUGUCAAGCCCGAGCGCGUAAUGAAAGUGAACGGAGGUGGGAACCCGCAAGGGCGCACCAUCGACCGAUCCUGAUGUCUUCGGAUGGAUUUGAGUAAGAGCAUAGCUGUUGGGACCCGAAAGAUGGUGAACUAUGCCUGAAUAGGGUGAAGCCAGAGGAAACUCUGGUGGAGGCUCGCAGCGGUUCUGACGUGCAAAUCGAUCGUCAAAUUUGG
Molecule: ribosomal RNA, 820 nt
Filed under: Lindgomycetaceae sp.
Lineage: Eukaryota; Fungi; Ascomycota; Dothideomycetes; Pleosporales; Lindgomycetaceae
Description: LSU rRNA
Rfam family: Eukaryotic large subunit ribosomal RNA
Source: RNAcentral